RNAcentral lists this unclassified non-coding RNA (392 nucleotides) under Hevea brasiliensis (rubber tree). The record is from RNAcentral. Lineage: Eukaryota; Viridiplantae; Streptophyta; Magnoliopsida; Malpighiales; Euphorbiaceae.
GGAAUUCCGUCUUUAUAAGCAAUCCCCCACGCUUUUCCAUGCCUACCAUCCUUAUAGAGAUUGAUCUUGGUGAUCUCAUAAGAGACUUUUUUCCAAUGAGAGCCAUGUGAUAACCAAUUCCCCAAUUGGGCAAAAACUGGGAGACCUCGAAUAGGUUCUUCUUCUUUUUCCGCUUUGGUUUCUGGGAAGACGAAGCAGUGGAAGAGGGAUUAGCCGAGGAAGAAGAAGUGUUUAAGCUUUUAAGGAAGUUGAAAGACAAUCUGAAGAAGCAUAGGGUUUGAUUAGUUGCUGAUGUCCUGUUUACGAGACUUGUCGCCAUUUUUUUGGAUAUUAUGUAAUGCUUUGCUUACUCUCUUCUCUGAAAUGGGGUUUUGCUGCUGAGCGAGUCCGUC